GACGAACGCUGGCGGCGUGCCUAAUACAUGCAAGUUGAGCGCUGAAGGUUGGUACUUGUCCCAACUGGAUGAGCAGCGAACGGGUGAGUAACGCGUGGGGAAUCUGCCUUUGAGCGGGGGACAACAUUUGGAAACGAAUGCUAAUACCGCAUAAAAACUUUAAACACAAGUUUUAAGUUUGAAAGAUGCAAUUGCAUCACUCAAAGAUGAUCCCGCGUUGUAUUAGCUAGUUGGUGAGGUAAAGGCUCACCAAGGCGAUGAUACAUAGCCGACCUGAGAGGGUGAUCGGCCACAUUGGGACUGAGACACGGCCCAAACGCCUACGGGAGGCAGCAGUAGGGAAUCUUCGGCAAUGGACGAAAGUCUGACCGAGCAACGCCGCGUGAGGGAAGAAGGUUUUCGGAUCGUAAAACUCUGUUGGUAGAGAAGAACGUUGGUGAGAGUGGAAAGCUCAUCAAGUGACGGUAACUACCCAGAAAGGGACGGCUAACUACGUG
This 497-nucleotide ribosomal RNA is filed under the name uncultured bacterium. Its description in RNAcentral is "partial 16S ribosomal RNA". It matches the Rfam family "Bacterial small subunit ribosomal RNA", at positions 28 to 507 of the family's 1533-position model. The record is from RNAcentral.